Molecule: ribosomal RNA, 311 nt
Filed under: uncultured bacterium
Lineage: Bacteria
Description: bacterial SSU rRNA
Rfam family: Bacterial small subunit ribosomal RNA
Source: RNAcentral
UACGAACGCUGGCGGCGCGCCUAACACAUGCAAGUCGAACGAGCGAGAGAGAGCUUGCUUUCUCGAGCGAGUGGCGAACGGGUGAGUAACGCGUGAGUAACCUGCCCUGGAGUGGGGGACAACAGUUGGAAACGACUGCUAAUACCGCAUAAGCCCACGGCCCGGCAUCGGGCUGAGGGAAAAGGAUUUAUUCGCUUCAGGAUGGACUCGCGUCCAAUUAGCUAGUUGGUGAGGUAACGGCCCACCAAGGCAAUGAUGGGUAGCCGGCCUGAGAGGGUGAACGGCCACAAGGGGACUGAGACACGGCCCUU